CUCAAGGUUACUUGCUUUCUGACAAUAACGAAUUGUGAAUCUUCAAUCAGUGCUUUUGAUUGAACAUUGCUACUGGAAAACAAUUAUGGAACCAUUUUCUUUAAAGCCCUGAUGAAUCAUUGCUUUUUGAAUUUGGGAUUUCAGCUCCACUUCUUGAGAUUGAUCUUUGGGUCGUGCAACUUAAAUCAAAUCCACUUCCCCCGG
Molecule: unclassified non-coding RNA, 204 nt
Filed under: Hevea brasiliensis (rubber tree)
Lineage: Eukaryota; Viridiplantae; Streptophyta; Magnoliopsida; Malpighiales; Euphorbiaceae
Source: RNAcentral